UGUCAUCAGAAAUAGUACAACUCUGAUCUCUUCUUUAGUAAAUCCUGCACACAGCUCUCAAGUUCUACAGGCUACUUGGCCCUUAAUUGCCACUGACUCUGCAAAGCAAGAGAGCUGUGCAACUUGUAAAUCAGCAACCCCUCACUCCUCUGAGACCACCCGAAACCCCAGCCUUUGCGACAGACAGCAGCAGAGGCAGUGAAAGAACUAAAAGCCUCCCAGCUCCUGUUUCUGGAGAGGAGCCUGCUUCACACCAGGUUCUCAGAGGCACAGAAGCCACUGUUAAGCUCCUGCGGGAUCAUGUAAAGGUUCCGGAAAUAACUCUUCGGAGGCUCUGAAACCUCAGAGCCAUGAGGACCUUCACAAGAUCCCUUUACAAGGGUGGCUGUUGUAUCCCCCAUUCUCCAGAUGGGAAAACCGAGGUACUGAGAGGCAAAGUGACUUGUCCAGGGUCACAGAGGGGAGUUCAUGACAGAGGUGGGAAGGGAAUGUGAUGCUCCUGACUCCCGAUCUGCUGUUCUGCCAGCUGGAUCCUUAAUAACUGGCUCCAGCUCUGUUAGCCAAUCCCUGCACUGUCCUGUUGUAACCGGGCUCUCCUGCGCAGUGCAGCAAGGUGUGCGAGAUUACACUGCCCACGGGUGUGAUGCUGGCAUUCCACUGGGUCCGGCCCAUCUGCCUUUCCUGAAUUUUGGAUGGUACCAAUCAUCACCCCCGGCCGGAUAAAGCUGCUUUAGGCUGACUGGCUCCAUGUAAAGCUGCUUCCUUGCAGGGGCUGAACAACUGACUUGCUCAAGAGCAGAUGAGUUCUCAAUGAGGAGUUGAAGGGGGUGUGCUGCGGAUCCUUGCGCCAGGCUACACGAGGCUCUGCCCUGUGCAGCGCAUCUUGGCUACAAGCCAUUUGCAGAGGAAGACUCUCGGGCUGAGGAGCAUGCCGAGAGCUGCUAGCCGGGGGAGGGGGCCGUGCCAACAUGAGCACAGCAGAGACCCAACCCGUGGCAGCAUCAUGUCAUGUGAUGAGAGAGCACAGUGCCUCCCUGGGCAAGGAUCGCAAGGCAGGGAGUUGGGCAGAGUGGGCGGCGAGCUGGCCAGGUGCAGAUCUGGACUGUCUGCACCAUGUCAGAGCUGGGGAAUGUCUAGCUGUUCCUGCGUCCCUGCUCCCAGCUGCGGUGGGCAGUGCUGAAGUCCAGUGAACUCACCACCACCGAGCUGAUAGCAACGGUGUCGAAGUCCAAAGAAUUACGCUCCACCAUUUAACUAGUCUGGGGGCGGGGGGGUAAGGACCCUACCCCCACUGACAGCUCUCUCGAGUCCCCCAGCCGGACGGGCUCCUUGCCGCGAGCUGGAAAUGCUGCUGUGAGGUUCCUAGGAAAAGGGUUAUUUUUGCCAAGCUGCACUGUUUGCCAUGGAAUCGUUCCACAUCCCAGCCAUGGAAAGGAGCGGCAGAUAUCGCUUCCCAUUCGGGGUGGGCUGGCUGAGGGAGGAAAGCGGAGUCAAAAACAGAACAAUCCAUCAACGCAGGGCUGGGGAAAGAUGCUGACUUGACAGCCCUGGUGUCUGACAUCCUAUUUAUCCAGGGAACCGGCACAGUAUGGGCAAAAGCGCCGCAAGCUUCCCCCACAUUGCCCUCGGGGGCGGCAGCGCCAGUCAGUCCUGCCUCUCUGCUGAGGCUGCAGAUUGUGACUGUGGACGCCUAUCUGCUAGGCACUGACUUGAGACACCCCUUUAUUUCACCGAACAGCCAUGGGACCGUGGUUCAGAGAUUCCAAGGCCAGAAGGGACCAUUGUGAUCAUCUGGUCUGACCUCCCUGUGUAACGUAGGCCAGAGAACUGCCCCAAAUAAUUCCUAGAGCAGAUCCUAUAGA
This is a long non-coding RNA of Chrysemys picta bellii (western painted turtle), 1862 nucleotides long. RefSeq lists it as uncharacterized. NCBI's taxonomy places the organism in Eukaryota, Metazoa, Chordata, Testudines, Emydidae. The record is from RefSeq and is a predicted model, not a curated record.